Molecule: ribosomal RNA, 253 nt
Filed under: uncultured bacterium
Lineage: Bacteria
Description: partial 16S ribosomal RNA
Rfam family: Bacterial small subunit ribosomal RNA
Source: RNAcentral
UACGGGGGGGGCAAGCGUUGUUCGGAAUUACUGGGCGUAAAGGGCUCGUAGGCGGCCAACUAAGUCAGACGUGAAAUCCCUCGGCUUAACCGGGGAACUGCAUCUGAUACUGGAUGGCUUGAGUCCGGGAGAGGGAUGCGGAAUUCCAGGUGUGGCGGUGAAAUGCGUAGAUAUCUGGAGGAACACCGGUGGCGAAGGCGGCAUCCUGGACCGGCAUUGACGCUGAGGAGCGAAAGCCAGGGGAGCAAACGGG